UUUUCGGAUGGAUUUUUGAUUGACUGAGUGGCGGACGGGUGAGUAACGCGUGGAUAACCUGCCUCACACUGGGGGAUAACAGUUGGAAACGACUGCUAAUACCGCAUAACGCGUAGAGGUCGCAUGGCCUUUACGCCAAAGAUUUAUCGCUUCAAGAUGGCCUCGCGUCUGAUUAGCUGGUUGGUGAGGUAACGGCCCACCAAGGCGACGAUCAGUAGCCGGACUGAGAGGUUGAACGGCCACAUUGGGACUGAGAUACGGCCCAGACUCC
Molecule: ribosomal RNA, 271 nt
Filed under: uncultured Eubacteriales bacterium
Lineage: Bacteria; Bacillati; Bacillota; Clostridia; Eubacteriales
Description: uncultured Clostridiales bacterium partial 16S ribosomal RNA
Rfam family: Bacterial small subunit ribosomal RNA
Source: RNAcentral